RNAcentral lists this ribosomal RNA (544 nucleotides) under uncultured bacterium. RNAcentral describes it as "bacterial SSU rRNA". It matches the Rfam family "Bacterial small subunit ribosomal RNA", at positions 358 to 916 of the family's 1533-position model. The record is from RNAcentral.
GGAAUCUUGCGCAAUGGACGAAAGUCUGACGCAGCAACGCCGCGUGCGGGAUGAAGGCCUUCGGGCUGUAAACCUCUUUCAGCAGGAACGAAAAUGACGGUACCUGCAGAAGAAGGAGCGGCCAACUACGUGCCAGCAGCCGCGGUGACACGUAGGCUCCAAGCGUUGUCCGGAUUUAUUGGGCGUAAAGAGCUCGUAGGCGGUUGAGUAAGUCGGGUGUGAAAACUCUGGGCUUAACCCGGAGACGCCAUCCGAUACUGCUCUGACUAGAGUUCAGGAGGGGAGUGGGGAAUUCCUAGUGUAGCGGUGAAAUGCGCAGAUAUUAGGAGGAACACCGGUGGCGAAGGCGCCACUCUGGACUGAAACUGACGCUGAGGAGCGAAAGCAUGGGUAGCAAACAGGAUUAGAUACCCUGGUAGUCCAUGCCGUAAACGGUGGGCACUAGGUGUGGGUUCCAACUAACGGGAUCCGCGCCGUCGCUAACGCAUUAAGUGCCCCGCCUGGGGAGUACGGUCGCAAGACUAAAACUCAAAGGAAUUGACGG